UACGUAGGUGGCAAGCGUUAUCCGGAUCUAUUGGGCGUAAAGCGAGCGCAGGCGGCUGCUUAGGUCUGAUGUGAAAGCCUUCGGCUUAACCGAAGAAGUGCAUCGGAAACCGGGCGACUUGAGUGCAGAAGAGGACAGUGGAACUCCAUGUGUAGCGGUGGAAUGCGUAGAUAUAUGGAAGAACACCAGUGGCGAAGGCGGCUGUCUGGUCUGCAACUGACGCUGAGGCUCGAAAGCAUGGGUAGCGAACAGG
Molecule: ribosomal RNA, 253 nt
Filed under: uncultured bacterium
Lineage: Bacteria
Description: partial 16S ribosomal RNA
Rfam family: Bacterial small subunit ribosomal RNA
Source: RNAcentral